This 547-nucleotide ribosomal RNA is filed under the name uncultured bacterium. RNAcentral's name for it is "partial 16S ribosomal RNA". It matches the Rfam family "Bacterial small subunit ribosomal RNA", at positions 355 to 895 of the family's 1533-position model. The record is from RNAcentral.
UGGGGAAUUUUGGACAAUGGGCGAAAGCCUGAUCCAGCAAUGCUGCGUGUGUGAAGAAGGCCUUCGGGUUGUAAAGCACUUUUGUCCGGAAAGAAAUCCUUGGCUCUAAUACAGUCGGGGGAUGACGGUACCGGAAGAAUAAGCACCGGCUAACUACGUGCCAGCAGCCGCGGUAAUACGUAGGGUGCAAGCGUUAAUCGGAAUUACUGGGCGUAAAGCGUGCGCAGGCGGUUUGCUAAGACCGAUGUGAAAUCCCCGGGCUCAACCUGGGAACUGCAUUGGUGACUGGCAGGCUAGAGUAUGGCAGAGGGGGGUAGAAUUCCACGUGUAGCAGUGAAAUGCGUAGAGUGUGGAGGAAUACCGAUGGCGAAGGCAGCCCCCUGGGCCAAUACUGACGCUCAUGCACGAAAGCGUGGGGAGCAAACAGGAUUAGAUACCCUGGUAGUCCACGCCCUAAACGAUGUCAACUAGUUGUUGGGGAUUCAUUUCCUUAGUAACGUAGCUAACGCGUGAAGUUGGACCGCCUGGGGAGUACGGUCGCAAGAUU